CCACGUUGGGCGCCAUCCGACGUACCGGAACCUCCUCGAGUGAUCGGAGUGAAUUGUGUUAAAUUAUGUGACGUGAUUUUAAUAUUACAAUAAAAUAAAUAAUUAAUAAAUUAAGUAGACACAAAUAAUUAAAGUACUAAUAUUAAACUAACUUAGUGAACGACAUCGGCGUACCAAGUUCCGAUAUCUGAUAACGCUAAGUGAAGCGUCAAGUGACGUGCCUCCGGCGAGACUUUGGGCAAGUUCUUUUUCUUGUUCGCAACUUCGCAGCACUUCGAUAGAUAUUAUUGCCAGCGGGGUUCAUCUUCGAAGCCUAAAAUAGAUCCAACGGAUAGAGGAUGUGAAACAGUUUGUGACAGACAAUGAUAAAACCCAGAAUAUGGUCAAGAAGAGGCACGGGAUGAGAGACAAGUGAGAAAAUGGCUACUAAAAUGCUUCUGUCGCUGCUUCUACACUGCUUUUAUGUUACCACCGCGUCGAUGCCUGGAGGUACGUUCAUUGUUGGGUUAAACAGAG
RNAcentral lists this unclassified non-coding RNA (516 nucleotides) under Melitaea cinxia (Glanville fritillary). Its description in RNAcentral is "misc RNA ENSMCXG00005017781.1". Lineage: Eukaryota; Metazoa; Arthropoda; Insecta; Lepidoptera; Nymphalidae. The record is from RNAcentral.